This 75-nucleotide transfer RNA is filed under the name Podarcis lilfordi (Lilford's wall lizard). RNAcentral's name for it is "tRNA.Thr". The stretch from base 10 to 67 matches the Rfam family "tRNA", at positions 8 to 63 of the family's 71-position model. Rfam says of the family: Transfer RNA (tRNA) molecules are approximately 80 nucleotides in length. Their secondary structure includes four short double-helical elements and three loops (D, anti-codon, and T loops). Lineage: Eukaryota; Metazoa; Chordata; Lepidosauria; Squamata; Lacertidae. The record is from RNAcentral.
GUGGCUUCAUAGCUCAGUGGUUAGAGCACUGGUCUUGUAAACUAGGGGUCGUGAGUUCGAUCCUCACGGGACACG